AACAAGUUUGUUUUCUGAAAAUUUCGCUCUGAUGUCUUGUAACAAGUUUUGUUUAUAUAUUCUGAAAGAAAAUAUGUUGUUUCUCCAUUCUGAAAGUAAAUGUCUUGUUCUGCAUAUCGAAUUUUAUAAUUGCUUAUGUUUACAUGCUAGUAUAUGCUCUCUACUUACUGAGUUGUUGAUAACUCACCCCUUAUCUCCAUAAUAUUUUUCAGAUAUUUUGAUGGUUCAGCUGAGGAUCAAGAUUUUGAGGCUUUGGGUGAGAUAAUUUAAGUAUAGUGGAGGAACAAUAGGAAGUUUU
Molecule: long non-coding RNA, 298 nt
Organism: Juglans microcarpa x Juglans regia
Lineage: Eukaryota; Viridiplantae; Streptophyta; Magnoliopsida; Fagales; Juglandaceae
Exons: 3
Source: RefSeq, a predicted model, not a curated record